GUCCUUUUGAAUAAUAUUUUGAGGUCUGGCCUGCUCCUGACGAAGUUUUAAAGAGCCGCGGUAAUUUUGACCGUGCAAAGGUAGCAUAAUCAUUAGUCUCUUAAUUAGGGGCUGGAAUGAAUGGCUUGACGAGAAAUCAGCUGUCUCUUGAUAAAUUUUAUAAUUUAACUUUUGAGUCAAAAGGCUUAAAUUUUUCUUUAGGACGAGAAGACCCUAUAGAGCUUAACAUUUUAUUUUUAUAUAAUUUUUAGUAAAUCUUUUUAUAUAAGAUGAUAAUGUUUUGUUGGGGUGACAUGAAGAAUAAAUAAACUCUUCAUUAUAAAUUCAUUAAUUUAUGUAUUUUAUAAUGAUCCAUAAUUUAUGAUCAUAAGAUUAAGUUACCUUAGGGAUAACAGCGUAAUUGAUUUUGAGAGCUCAUAUCGACAAAUCAGAUUGCGACCUCGAUGUUGGAUUAAGAAAAAUUCUGGGUGCAGUAAUUCAGAAAUUAGGUCUGUUCGCCUUUAAAUUCUUACA
RNAcentral lists this ribosomal RNA (513 nucleotides) under Calliptamulus sp. RNAcentral describes it as "partial large subunit ribosomal RNA". It matches the Rfam family "Bacterial large subunit ribosomal RNA", at positions 1825 to 2600 of the family's 2925-position model. The record is from RNAcentral. Lineage: Eukaryota; Metazoa; Arthropoda; Insecta; Orthoptera; Acrididae.